This 1786-nucleotide long non-coding RNA is filed under the name Homo sapiens (human). RNAcentral describes it as "HSALNT0228649". The record is from RNAcentral. Lineage: Eukaryota; Metazoa; Chordata; Mammalia; Primates; Hominidae.
AGCAACCUUCCUAUAGAGCUGGUUAAUUAGUGACAAGGAAGAGUGUCACCAGGGGCAAAGCUCAUUUCAACUGCUUCCUUUCACGGAAGGCAACAAGGUUCGAGGCACUGAACUUGGACCUUUUCUCUCUGGAAUGGCCAUGACGUUGACUAUUGAAGACUGCUGUAUUCAUCUUGAGUGUUUGGAGCACAAUGAUACAACUGUUCAACCUAUUUGAUAUGGAUUUCUCCUAUUCGGAAGAAAUUUCAACAACUUCACUUCUAACUUAAACACAUUCAUCGACUAGCCUGGCCAACAUGGUGAAACCCCGUGUCUACUAAAAAUACAAAAAUUAGCUGGGCGUGGUGGCAUAUGCCUGUAGUCCCAGCUACUUGGGAGGCUGAGGCAGAAGAAUCACUUGAACCUGGGAGGCAGAGGUUGCAGCAAGCCGAGAUUGUGCCAUUGCACUCCAGCCUGGGCGACAAGAGCAAAACUCCGUCUCAAAAAAUAAAUAAACAAACACAUAUAACACUGUCAAAAUAAGGAGAAACUUUCUUUCCCACAUUGAAAGUCAUUGAUGUUUUCCUUAAAAGCAUUGUAUCAUGUUUGUAUUCUUUAACAAUCAAAAAGAAUCAUUGUCUGCCUUUUUGUUUCUUCUUUUCUAAAUGAAAACAUUUAUAAAAAUAUUUAAGUGGAUAAGUUGCCUAUUGAAAUUGUAAUGUCCCUGAAGUAUUGGUUGAGCUUAAUUUAUUCAUAUAAGUUUCAAGCCAUUCAAAGGCCUAUUUUUCUGGCAGAAAACUAAAGACAGAGCUGUUAUUGUACCAUCUGGUUUGCAUGAGGAAUCUCUUGGCAUCUCUUAACUGCACAUUUUAUAAAUGCUAAAUCCCAGAUGGCAUACAUUGUAACAGUGAAGAGUUUUAUAAAGGCUUCCAAAAACAAAUUCUUUCAAAUUUGAAUACUGGAUAGUCUAAGCAGGGGCUAGGAAUUUAAAUUCUACACUUGAUUAAACUGGCUUUGUUAGCUGAACAAAUUUCCCUUUUUUCUUAUGUCUUUCCUUCUUCCUAAUUAUUGGUUCUGUGACUUGAAAAUUUCAAUCCAUGUAAUUCUUCUACCAACAGGUCCCCUCUAUAACUCAAGUUCUAGAAAAACUGCAGGAACGACAAUCAUUGGAAAAACCUAUGUUAGGUGCCAUUUUGUUUCAAAGAUGGUAGAAUUUACCACAAGGGAGGUGUGUUAUAGCAUCCAUUAGCAGAUCAUCAAAUACCAUCAAAACCGUUCAACUCUUACAAAGCUGAUGGUUGGAUUGGAAAGACAAGCAAAUGUAAACUCCAAGCAUUGUGUUGAAAUAAAGCCAGAGUAGAAUAAUGAUUGAGAACAUGGGGUCUGAAGUCAGAGACUGACAGAUAUUAAGCCCCAGAUUGGAUCUUCCCAUUAAGUUGGGCAAAUUACUUCUCCCUAAGCUUUAGUUUCUUCAUCAGUAAAAUAAAGACAGUACUUUUCUCUUUAAAAGAGAAUCAUUCACAGGGUUGUUGCAAGUAAUUACUGAAUAUUUGUAAAAUACUAAGUACAGUUUAUGGUGUGUAGUCAGCACUUAAUUAAAGUAAAUUAAUAGUAGUACUAGCACUAGGAGAAAGAAAGUUUCUCCUUUCUUUAAGUCAAUCUAUAUAAAUGCAGCAUUUUCUUAAAACUUCUCUUUUCUCUGCAUUUUCCUUCUCAAUAACAACAGCCGAGACCUAGUUUUGUUUUUUUUUUUUUGUCCUACCCCUUAUCAUGGUAUAAUAAAAAUAAUAUAUAUUUUACAGUCACA